RNAcentral lists this ribosomal RNA (384 nucleotides) under Triticum aestivum (bread wheat). RNAcentral's name for it is "partial small subunit ribosomal RNA". Lineage: Eukaryota; Viridiplantae; Streptophyta; Magnoliopsida; Poales; Poaceae. The record is from RNAcentral.
AUGGUCUGUUCAUGGCCAGUGUGGAUAACAUUGUCACUCACGGGUGGUGGAGAACCGGAGAAGGAAAUGCAGUGUCUUGCCAUCCUGCAAAAGUUGCGACUUUGUAGACAUCCUUGUCAUGAAGGUUUGUCUGAUGUGGGGUGGUCUUGUCAUCUCAAUCUGCAAGGACAUGUGAACAAAGAUAAUAGACAGGUCGAAAAUCUGGCAUGUUUUUCGUGCUCCAUUCUUGACGGUGAGUCGGUGACAAGGAGGGAGCAGACAUCUCCACGACACUCGAGAGCCUGCAGAGAGAAUGCAAUGCCAUGGCCAGCACAAAAGGCAGGCGAUGAAGAAAAAGUAUAUAAUAAAUAUUCUUUAGUGCCAUGGGCAACAGCAUGCUUAUGA